CCUACGGGAGGCAGCAGUUUGGAAUUUUGGACAAUGGACGAAAGUCUGAUCCAGCGACGCCGCGUGCACGAAGAAGGUCUUCGGAUCGUAAAGUGCUUUUGGCAGGGACAAAUUUUUGAUGGUACCUGCAGAAUAAGAGGUUGCUAACUCUGUGCCAGCAGCAGCGGUAAUACAGAGACCUCAAGCGUUAUCCGGAAUCAUUGGGCGUAAAGCGUACCGAUAGGUGGUUGAAAUAGUCUUGGGUAAAAGCCGGAAGCUCAACUUCCGCGUUUGCUUAAGAUACUUUUCGACUAGAGGGGCAAAGAGGUGCUUGGAACCAACGGUGUAGUAGUGAAAUGCGUUGAUAUCGUUGGGAACACCGAAAGCGAAGGCAGAGCACUGGGUGCCACCUGACACUGCUAGGACGAAAGCGUGGGGAGCGAAUGGGAUUAGAUACCCCUGUAGUC
This 446-nucleotide ribosomal RNA is filed under the name uncultured bacterium. RNAcentral describes it as "bacterial SSU rRNA". It matches the Rfam family "Bacterial small subunit ribosomal RNA", at positions 338 to 795 of the family's 1533-position model. The record is from RNAcentral.